This 96-nucleotide microRNA precursor is filed under the name Tupaia belangeri (northern tree shrew). Its description in RNAcentral is "miRNA (ENSTBEG00000017932.1)". The record is from RNAcentral. Lineage: Eukaryota; Metazoa; Chordata; Mammalia; Scandentia; Tupaiidae.
UGAGAGAGAGAGAGAGAGAGCACACGCGCACACCAGCAAGAGAAAUGAGUACCCUCCAUGGAGUCUGGUCACGUCACAAUCUCUUUCCGACAGUCC